CAUAAGCCUUGUGGUGUAUUCACAUUAGAUUGCAAAUCUUAAGAAGCAGGCUGAUCGCCUGCCGGGGCUUU
Molecule: transfer RNA, 71 nt
Filed under: Ameiurus nebulosus (brown bullhead)
Lineage: Eukaryota; Metazoa; Chordata; Actinopteri; Siluriformes; Ictaluridae
Also listed under: 1 other name
Description: tRNA-Cys
Source: RNAcentral